CCUACGGGGGGCGGCAGUGGGGAAUAUUGCACAAUGGGGGAAACCCUGAUGCAGCGACGCCGCGUGAGUGAAGAAGUAUUUCGGUAUGUAAAGCUCUAUCAGCAGGGAAGAAAAUGACGGUACCUGACUAAGAAGCCCCGGCUAACUACGUGCCAGCAGCCGCGGUAAUACGUAGGGGGCAAGCGUUAUCCGGAUUUACUGGGUGUAAAGGGCGUGCAGCCGGGCCGACAAGUCAGAUGUGAAAUCCGCGGGCUUAACCCGCGGACUGCAUUUGAAACUAUUGGUCUUGAGUACCGGAGAGGUCA
Molecule: ribosomal RNA, 305 nt
Filed under: uncultured bacterium
Lineage: Bacteria
Description: bacterial SSU rRNA
Rfam family: Bacterial small subunit ribosomal RNA
Source: RNAcentral